CCUACGGGAGACAGCAGUGAGGAAUAUUGGUCAAUGGACGAGAGUCUGAACCAGCCAAGUAGCGUGAAGGAUGACUGCCCUAUGGGUUGUAAACUUCUUUUAUCAAGGAAUAAAAGAGGCACGUGAGGCUUUUUGCAUGUUAUUUCUGAAUAAGGAACGGCUAACUCCGUGACAGCAGCAGCGGUAAUAAGGGGGAUCCGAGCGUUAUACGGUUUUAUUGGGUUAAAAGGGAGCGUAGAUGGGUUGUUGAGUCAGUUGUGAAAGUUUGCGGCUCAACCGUAAAAUUGCAAUUGAUACUGGCAGUCUUGAGUACAGUUGAGGUAGGCGGAAUUCGUGGUGUAGCGGUGAAAUGCUUAGAUAUCACGAAGAACCCCGAUUGCGAAGGCAGCUUACUAACCUGUGACUGACAUUGAUGCUCGAAAGUGUGGGUAUCAAACAGGAUUAGAUACCCUUGUAGUC
This 459-nucleotide ribosomal RNA is filed under the name uncultured bacterium. RNAcentral describes it as "partial 16S ribosomal RNA". It matches the Rfam family "Bacterial small subunit ribosomal RNA", at positions 338 to 795 of the family's 1533-position model. The record is from RNAcentral.